AUGGCCUGAACCAAGCAGACAGGGCAUGUAAGUCCACCGGUGGGAAAGCACCCCCCUCCCCCAAACAGCUGGCCACCAAGGCUGCCAGGAAAAGCCCUCCCUCUACCGGCAGGGUGAAGAAACCUCAUCGCUACAGGCCCGGGACUGUGGCUCUUGGAGAGAUUCCUUGACUGAGCUUCUCAUCUGGAAAUUGCCUUUCCAGAGAUUGGUGAGAGAGAUCGCCCAGGAUUUCAAAAGCGAUUUGAGGUUUCAGAGUGCAGCCAUUGGUGCCCUUCAGGAGGCUAGUGAAGCGUACCUGGUGGGUUUAUUUGAAAAUACUAAUGUGUGUGCCAUCCACGCUAAGAGAGUCACCAUCAUGCCCAAAGACAUCCAGUUGGCUCCCCUGAAGGGGGAGGUGGGGAGAAACUUAAGUGAAGGCAGUUUUUAUGGCGUUUUGUAG
This is a non-coding RNA of Marmota flaviventris (yellow-bellied marmot), 439 nucleotides long. The record is from RefSeq and is a predicted model, not a curated record. NCBI's taxonomy places the organism in Eukaryota, Metazoa, Chordata, Mammalia, Rodentia, Sciuridae.